This is a long non-coding RNA of Esox lucius (northern pike), 2471 nucleotides long. RefSeq lists it as uncharacterized. Lineage: Eukaryota; Metazoa; Chordata; Actinopteri; Esociformes; Esocidae. The record is from RefSeq and is a predicted model, not a curated record. The transcript is spliced from 3 exons.
UAGACCAGACCAUUUGGGCACUUCUUGUUUACCAUUUCCAGCGCACUAUGGUUUGUGACAAACGAAUCUUCGUCUGGCAUACUGUAUAGUAUGGAUAGUUUUGGGAUGCAACCUUUGACUCGAGACUUCAGAUCUUACAAGUUAGCGUGGAAAAGUCCAGUAUGUUGUCAAAUCAGUUAUUGUCCGAAAACUGUCUAUUGCAUUCCCCACAUCGGCACUUUUUGAGACAACAGGACUGUUACAGGUGAAGAAAUUCGGAAUUCUAAAGAAAGUGAAGCCCAGUGGAUCCAGGGAUGGCAUCUGUGAAGCAAGAAGACUGCAGUCAAACACUGGGAAAUGUCAUUAAAGAUGAAAAAGAAGAGAAUACUGGGGUUGCAGCUAAUCAUGCUGAGAGUCCUGAGGCCCAGACUUGUAUCUCUGGAGCACAGCAUCAGGAAGACCACAAAAAUCAGCAGCCUCACCACUGCCCUCUUUGUAUGAAGAGUUUCAAAUCCAUGACAACGCUCAAAAGACACAUGCCUUGGCAUACCAAAGAUAGAUCAUACUCCUGUGGUGACUGUGGCAAGCGCUUUAAAACAUCAAAUGCUCUUACAACACAUCUGAGAGUGCACACAGGAGAGAAGCCAUAUGUCUGCUCUGAUUGUGGGAUGAGUUUCUCUCAAGAUGGUACUCUCAAAGGACACCAGAAAAUACACACAGGAGUAAGGCCUUAUUGCUGCUCUGAUUGUAAGAUGGCUUUUUCUCGGCGUGGUACUCUCAACAAUCACCGGAAAAUACACACUGGAGAGAAACCAUAUCACUGCUCUGACUGUAAAAAGGAUUUUUCCCGACUUGGUACACUCAGAAUUCACCAGAAAAUACAUUCUGGAGAGAAACCAUAUCAUUGCACCGAUUGUAUCAAGUGUUUCAUUACAUCAGCUGAACUUACUGUUCACCAAAGAGUGCACACGGGAGAGAAACCUUAUCAUUGCGCUGUCUGUGGGAGGAGUUUUUCAAGACUUGAUACCCUAAGAAGUCACCAGAAAAUACAUACAAAAUAGAAGCUGUAGCAGUGUGCUGCCUGUGAGAUGAAAUUCAGUGACUGUUUAUUAUACAGUUGCAAGAAAAAAAGGGUAAACCUUUCUCAAUUACCUGUAUAAAUGGCUCCUAGAAUCCACGUCAUAACAGUAGGUAAGCAGUGUGACGGAAGAAAGAACACACACAUUUUUACUUUUAAAUGUACUUUGAAAACAACAGCAUAUGUACCUAAAGGAUAAUUACAUGUAAGGCUAGAAAGGCACACAAAAGCACUUCUAAAGACAUGGGCUUACAGUCUCACAGGUUGUUUAAAAAUUGACAAGCAAGAUCCGCUGCUACCCUCCUUGGAGUUGAGCAUUGAGCAAAGAUUGCAGCAAAGACAAGUCGUAUAAUGGUCAGUGAAGUGGAAAAAAAUCCAAGGGUAUCAUGGAUUUGUAGGCAUCUCUUGCACUUUUUGCCGGACUGCGUUAGCAUAGCUGGCCAAGAAGAGCAAGAGUGACUGACUCACCGACCGAACUAGCUUUGUUAAAUAGUGUAUUGGUUAGAGACACGGACUGUCAUGCAGGGGACCAUGGUUCGAUCCUUACCACAGCCUAAACAAAUUAGUCAAUAAGAUUUGUUCAGGAUAGACUAGAACUUUGUGUUAAUGCGAAUGGACGAACUGCAGCAGCAACAAACAUUGCUCUGAUUUUCGAUUAACAUAACAUAGUUCAAAUGGCAUAGUGACUAGCUUUUCUAUUGUCUAUUUGUUUUAGAAAUAAAUAAACCAACCAUGUAGUGGUUCAAGUAAUUUUUUCAUUAUAGGCACUGAAUAGCUAUUAGCUAGCCAUCCUCAAUAUAGUGUAGUGGUUAGAGAGGUGGACCAUCAUGUUGGCAACUGGGGUUCGAUCCUCACCAUAGAUCAAGCAAAUUAGGCAUUAGGAUAUGUUAAUUUUGUUUUCAAUUUACAUAGCAUAGUUCAUUUGACGUUGUGGUUAGCUGUUCGACUGUUUAUUUGUUUCCUAAAGAAACAAAUCAGCCAUGGAGUGAUUUGAGUCAUUGUUUUUGUUAUUGGUACUAUAUAGCUGUUAGCUAGCCAUCUACAGUAAUCUUCUAGUUAAAUGUGUUGAAUGUACCGUAGUGUAGCAUUAUACCUGUUGUUGGUUGAAUGUUAACUAAUGUAGGGAACUGUGCAGUUUUUUUAGAUUUUGCAUAUAUACUCAUGUAAUCAAUGAAUGUAUCAGUAUGUUAAUCACACUCAUACAGCUAAUCAGUAUGGUAAACUGUAUAAUCAUCAAUAUACAAGGCCUGCACCACCAAUAUUUAACAACAAUGGUUUGUUGGGUGAAUUCCAGAAAGAUAAGAAUUAAUAGUGGCGGAUCAAAGGGGAUUAACAUAAUUGGAUGGCCAGGUGGUGUCAUGCAAGAUCGUACUGAAUAAAAUUUAGUGUCCGAGGUUGGAAAGGCAUUUGUUCU